This 246-nucleotide unclassified non-coding RNA is filed under the name Hevea brasiliensis (rubber tree). Lineage: Eukaryota; Viridiplantae; Streptophyta; Magnoliopsida; Malpighiales; Euphorbiaceae. The record is from RNAcentral.
UGAUCUUUCUGGAUCUGGAAUUGGAGGAUAACAUAACAUGACCAAACUACUUGAGAUUUAAUUUAAUCUGAAUCAAUUGGAUGGCUAUGUAAGACUGUUUGUUUGAUUUGAUUCGAUUCUGAAGCUGCCAGUUCUUGUAUUCUGUACCAUUUGAGAUUCUUGGAAAAGGGAUAUUAUUUUCUCGCCACCCUUUAAAUCUAUCCUGGUUUGUUUUCACAUGUUGUACUUGUGCCCUUCUUUUUUUUU